This 987-nucleotide long non-coding RNA is filed under the name Gallus gallus (chicken). Its description in RNAcentral is "lncRNA (ENSGALG00010028287.1)". The record is from RNAcentral. Lineage: Eukaryota; Metazoa; Chordata; Aves; Galliformes; Phasianidae.
GGCGGCACCGCCCGCGGGGAGGGGCGGUGGAGGCGGCGGGGCAGAGCGGAGAGGAGCAGAGCGGCCCUCUGCCGGGCUCGGUGCGUAUGGAAUGGAGCGAGCGCCGGGGCUGAAGUCAGCGACGGGAAACCGAGCGACAAAAACAGAAGGUCUCGGCGGCGUGCGGUACAGGAAGGCGCCCAGAGCUCAGGAGCAGCCGCGCUCAGCGGGUCUCGCAGAGCGGAGCGCUUCACGGAACCGCUGCCAGAGAGAGAACCCUGCGCGGAGCCGCCCCCGGGGCUGCAGCGCCGGCAGCGGGCGUGGGGGAGGGCAGAGCCGGGCCUGGGGCUUCGGGCACGCUUCCAUGUCUGACGCCGUUUUGUCAGACCGCCCCUCGGCGCCGUCUGCCACACGGCAGCGCGUCCGGAACGUUGGUGGGAAGAUUCAGCCUCUGCUGCAGUCCCACCAACGUCCACCUCUGAUAUCGUGGGCCAACGUCAUAGAAUAAGAGGCGUUACUUUCAGAGCAGCCCUCGCAUUUUAGACUUCUAUCAAAGAUCAGUAGUUAAUGGUUGCUUUGCAGUUGCAGCAACACUCGUGCUACAAAAGACUAAACGCAGCCAUUAGCAGCCCAGCCCACCAGCAGCAGUACCACAGAUGAAACCUAAUCACUACAAGCACAAGAGUGGCAGAAAAUUCACCACCACACGUAUGUAUGUCCCUGGUGCCUGGCUGCUCGCUUGCAAGCACUUGCGAGAUGGGUGGAGGUCAGCAGGCUUCAAAAGCAGUUGAAAACAAAAAGACAGUUCCUUCUUAAAGGAGAUCCAAUAGCAGGCAGUGCUGGGACACGAUCGCGGACACCAUGGUGUGGUUCCAGCUUGCCAGAAUGAAGGUACAGCGGGCAGCACUCAGCAUCGAAAGCAUGCAAGCUCUGACCAGCACAAGGCGAAGCCCACAAGCAGCCCUUCCAGGACAGCUAACCCAGACAUCAACUGCCAACCCAUAGCCC